This 71-nucleotide transfer RNA is filed under the name Gaiellaceae bacterium. RNAcentral's name for it is "tRNA-Cys". It matches the Rfam family "tRNA". Rfam says of the family: Transfer RNA (tRNA) molecules are approximately 80 nucleotides in length. Their secondary structure includes four short double-helical elements and three loops (D, anti-codon, and T loops). The record is from RNAcentral. Lineage: Bacteria; Bacillati; Actinomycetota; Thermoleophilia; Gaiellales; Gaiellaceae. RNAcentral also lists the same sequence under 2 other names.
GGCGCCGUGGCCGAGUGGUUAGGCAGAGGCCUGCAAAGCCUCGUACAGCAGUUCGAAUCUGCUCGGCGCCU